RNAcentral lists this ribosomal RNA (450 nucleotides) under uncultured bacterium. RNAcentral describes it as "partial 16S ribosomal RNA". It matches the Rfam family "Bacterial small subunit ribosomal RNA", at positions 354 to 796 of the family's 1533-position model. The record is from RNAcentral.
GUGGGGAAUUUUGGACAAUGGGCGCAAGCCUGAUCCAGCAAUGCCGCGUGCAGGAAGAAGGCCUUCGGGUUGUAAACUGCUUUUGUACGGAACGAAAAGGCUCUGGUUAAUACCUGGGGCUCAUGACGGUACCGUAAGAAUAAGCACCGGCUAACUACGUGCCAGCAGCCGCGGUAAUACGUAGGGUGCAAGCGUUAAUCGGAAUUACUGGGCGUAAAGCGUGCGCAGGCGGUUUUGUAAGACAGAGGGGAAAUCCCCGGGCUCAACCUGGGAAUUGCCUUUGUGACUGCAAGGCUGGAGUGCGGCAGAGGGGGAUGGAAUUCCGCGUGUAGCAGUGAAAUGCGUAGAUAUGCGGAGGAACACCGAUGGCGAAGGCAAUCCCCUGGGCCUGCACUGACGCUCAUGCACGAAAGCGUGGGGAGCAAACAGGAUUAGAAACCCCGGUAGUCC